RNAcentral lists this non-coding RNA (177 nucleotides) under Chloroflexota bacterium. RNAcentral's name for it is "Chloroflexi bacterium (anaerobic digester metagenome) 6S RNA". It matches the Rfam family "6S / SsrS RNA". Rfam says of the family: E. coli 6S RNA was the first non coding RNA to be sequenced, but its function was unknown until recently. It consists of 184 nucleotides that fold into an extended hairpin structure with a large single-stranded internal bulge. The 6S RNA specifically associates with RNA polymerase holoenzyme containing the sigma70 specificity factor. The record is from RNAcentral. Lineage: Bacteria; Bacillati; Chloroflexota.
UAAUCCCUGCGGUGUGCGUGAUCUCUCGAUUGUUUUGAGCCAACACAUUGGUUGAGGGAGCCGAUUUCCGGAUGAGUGGCUCUGCAGGGCUUCUGCGGAGGUCCUCUGGGUCACUGGUAGGCGCCCACCUGCGUAAGCAGGUUCAAGACCACGAGGACACGGCAUGGCAGGGGUUAC